AUACUUAGCAGCUAGGGAAAGCACCAUGAUCCAGAAGGUGGUUUCCCCAGGGUGACGCGUCUCCAUUGCUGACCCCUGUGAUUCCCCAAAAUGGAGGGCAUUCAACUGCAUAAUGCAUGGUAGUGGGGGAAUAUGUUUGUACUUUCAUCUG
This 151-nucleotide small nuclear RNA is filed under the name Peromyscus maniculatus bairdii (prairie deer mouse). RNAcentral describes it as "U1 spliceosomal RNA (ENSPEMG00000002092.2)". It matches the Rfam family "U1 spliceosomal RNA". Rfam says of the family: U1 is a small nuclear RNA (snRNA) component of the spliceosome (involved in pre-mRNA splicing). Its 5' end forms complementary base pairs with the 5' splice junction, thus defining the 5' donor site of an intron. There are significant differences in sequence and secondary structure between metazoan and yeast U1 snRNAs, the latter being much longer (568 nucleotides as compared to 164 nucleotides in human). The record is from RNAcentral. Lineage: Eukaryota; Metazoa; Chordata; Mammalia; Rodentia; Cricetidae.